UAACAUUUCUAACGUCAAUGAAAAGCAAGGGGACUCGAUGUUCACGCUAGCUUCUGUUUGUUAGGAAGAAGGCGAGUGGAGAGAGGUUGGAAAGCAACUGGGAUCCACGUCUACAUACAGUUUCAUACGUCUGCUUAGACAGUUUAUAGAUGGAAAAUUCACACAAAGCUUUGGACUAAAGACUGAAAAUCAAACCUGCGUUCAGCAAAGCGUUUGACCGUUCCUGUCCAGCACCAGUGCUUUGCAUCAGCCAGGACAGGAAGGAGGUCCUGACCCCCUGAAGGAGGUCCUGACCCCCUGAAGGAGGUCCUGACCCCCUGAAGGAGGUCCUGACCCCCUGAAUGAAGGAGGUCCUGACCCCCUGAAUGAAGGAGGUCCUGAGCCCCUGAAUGAAGGAGGUCCUGAGCCCCUGAAUGAAGGAGGUCCUGAGCCCCUGAAGGAGGUCCUGACCCCCUGAAUGAAGGAGGUCCUGACCCUCUGAAUGAAGGAGGUCCUGAGCCCCUGAAGGAGGUCCUGACCCCCUGAAUGAAGGAGGUCCUGAGCCCCUGAAUGAAGGAGGUCCUGAGCCCCUGAAUGAAGGAGGUCCUGAGCCCCUGAAUGAAGGAGGUCCUGAGCCCCUGAAGGAGGUCCCUACCCUCUGAAUGAAGGAGGUCCCGACCCCCUGAAUGAAGGAGGUCCUGAGCCCCUGAAUGAAGGAGGUCCUGAGCCCCUGAAUGAAGGAGGUCCUGAGCCCCUGAAUGAAGGAGGUCCUGAGCCCCUGAAUGAAGGAGGUCCUGAGCCCCUGAAGGAGGUCCUGACCCCCUGAAGGAGGUUCUGACCCCCUGAAGGAGGUUCUGACCCCCUGAAGGAGGUUCUGAGCCACUGAAUGAAGGAGGUCCUGACCCCCUGAAGGAGGUUCUGAGCCAC
Long non-coding RNA from Fundulus heteroclitus (mummichog), 906 nucleotides. RefSeq lists it as uncharacterized. The record is from RefSeq and is a predicted model, not a curated record. NCBI's taxonomy places the organism in Eukaryota, Metazoa, Chordata, Actinopteri, Cyprinodontiformes, Fundulidae. The transcript has 4 exons.